GACGAACGCUGGCGGCGUGCUUAACACAUGCAAGUCGAACGGAAAGGCCCUGCUUUUGUGGGGUGCUCGAGUGGCGAACGGGUGAGUAACACGUGAGUAACCUGCCCUUGACUUUGGGAUAACUUCAGGAAACUGGGGCUAAUACCGGAUAGGAGCUCCUGCUGCAUGGUGGGGGUUGGAAAGUUUCGGCGGUUGGGGAUGGACUCGCGGCUUAUCAGCUUGUUGGUGGGGUAGUGGCUUACCAAGGCUUUGACGGGUAGCCGGCCUGAGAGGGUGAACGGCCACAUUGGGACUGAGAUACGGCCCAGACUCCUACGGGAGGCAGCAGUGGGGAAUAUUGCACAAUGGGCGGAAGCCUGAUGCAGCGACGCCGCGUGCGGGAUGACGGCCUUCGGGUUGUAAACCGCUUUCGGCUGUGACGAAGCGUGAGUGACGGUAAUGGGUAAAGAAGCACCGGCUAACUACGUG
RNAcentral lists this ribosomal RNA (468 nucleotides) under uncultured bacterium. RNAcentral describes it as "partial 16S ribosomal RNA". It matches the Rfam family "Bacterial small subunit ribosomal RNA", at positions 28 to 507 of the family's 1533-position model. The record is from RNAcentral.